AUGAAAAUCAUAAGUUGGAACUGCCGGGGACUCAGGAAUGGCCCAGCAGUUCGAUCUCUCCUCGAGUUGGGGCGAGUGGAGGAUCCUGAUGUCUUGUUUUUGUCUGAAACUAGGUUGUAUGAGAAGGAGUUGGAGUGGCUGAGGUGGAAGUUGGGCUUGGUUAAUCUCUCGGUGUGGAACCCGGAAGGCAAGAGCAGAGGUAUCGCUUUGUUCUGGCGGAGGGGGGUUGAU
This 231-nucleotide ribosomal RNA is filed under the name Triticum aestivum (bread wheat). RNAcentral describes it as "partial small subunit ribosomal RNA". The record is from RNAcentral. Lineage: Eukaryota; Viridiplantae; Streptophyta; Magnoliopsida; Poales; Poaceae.